GAGAGUUAAACAGUAUGUGAAAUUGUUGAAAGGGAAACGAUUGAAGCCAGUCGUACCUUCGGGUAAUCAGCCUUUCGGGUGCGAUUCUGUGGAGUUUGAGGAGCUUAACACCUUCAUGCUUUGCAUAUUCGUGCUCUUGGGUGUACUUGCUCGUAUGGUUGGUUAACAUCAAUUUUGGUGGUCAUAAAAUGACUGGAGGAAUGUAGCUUCGAUCUCGUAUUGAAGUGUUAUAGCCUUCGGUAGAUGUGAUGACUGAGAUUGAGGAUUGCAACGGAUACCCUUCGGGGCUACCUGUCUGAUCUCUGAUCGUUGCUCUGGUGCCGAAAGCUUGCUUACGGUUGUCAAAGUCGAUGGUCAAUAGGUUAGAAUGGGUUAAAUUCGUUAAGGAUGUUGACGUAAUGGCUUUAAACGA
RNAcentral lists this ribosomal RNA (412 nucleotides) under uncultured Rhizophagus. RNAcentral's name for it is "partial 28S ribosomal RNA". Lineage: Eukaryota; Fungi; Glomeromycota; Glomeromycetes; Glomerales; Glomeraceae. The record is from RNAcentral.